CAGUUCUGAAAGCAGUGGUACAGCUUUGUGUUGAUUAUAGCUGCACCCUAGGGAAUGACUAAACUAGGUAAUCAUUAUGCAAAAAAACUAUCAGCGUCUGCAUCAACAAUAUUUAGUGAAAUAACAUAGCAUAUGGGCCAAUGCUUCAGAAAUUAACAACAUACCAAAUUCAUGCACAGAUAACAAUUCAACUAUGCGAUCCAAUAGAUGUGAACCAAAUGUGUAAUUUUAAUCAUAAUGUAAACUCUAAUAGGGGAUUUAGGGAUAUAUUUAAUGUACCCUCAUACUUCUCCAAAGUUCUAAACACUGAAAUAGGGACUCAUUUCACAAAUACAUCCCCAUGAGAAUUUACUAGGUGCACUAAUUAUGACUAGGUCCAGAGUUAAAUUCCAAAAGAUUGAUCGCAUUCCACAAUCGAUAUGCGAACGAGAGUAUGAUUCUCAAAGCUUGUUCAUUUUGACAUCCAGUGUUAUUAAUUUCAAGAUCAGAGCCAUUUUAUAAUGCUCCAAACUGCAAUGCUAUAGCACACCACAAAUAAUCAUUUGGGAUUUUUUUUCGGAUGGGGGUUUUCAAAUUUUGAUGUCACCAGCAAAAAAUAUGUGAGGAGAAAAUAAUGGUUAGAUCCCCAUCACAAUCAAUAAAAAGAUAACAGCAACACAAUUUUUUUUGAAAUCGUAUGCGUAAAAGAUAUCAAUUGAAUAAGUUACUUUAUGAAAUAAAAACGACAACAAAAAUUAUUUACACCAGAGUAGAAAAUUGAAAUCAGGAAGCAUCUGCUAAACCCAGCUCUAAAAAUAAGGUUUCCAAGACUAUAACCAAAAGGAAUCUCUAAUCAUUUUAUUAUAAACACAAGAUCUUCAAUAACUAACACUCCCAGAAAAGCACAAUAAACAAGUAAUGAGAAAAGUGGAGUAUUGAAAAUUAUAACCUCGUAUAGAAUGGAGCUACUGUGGUAGUUCAUUUGAGCCAAAAAUACAUAUAAAUAAAGACCAAUAAGAAUAAAAGCUAACAUAUUUGACCAAAAUUUCUCCGCAACCAAACAUUCUACAACAGAGAACAAGCAAACAAACAAAUUCUCCCAAUAGCAAGAAAAACACAACUCUAGCCAGGAAAACAACACUACUUUUUCACACAGAGAAAGAAGUGAAAAGGCUUACAUUUUUCAUCAAG
This 1170-nucleotide unclassified non-coding RNA is filed under the name Hevea brasiliensis (rubber tree). The record is from RNAcentral. Lineage: Eukaryota; Viridiplantae; Streptophyta; Magnoliopsida; Malpighiales; Euphorbiaceae.